UACAGAGGGUGCGAGCGUUGUCCGGAAUCACUGGGCGUAAAGGGCGCGUAGGUGGCGCGACAAGUCAGUGGUGAAAGCUCGACGCUCAACGUCGAGUCGGCCACUGAUACUGUUGGGCUUGAGCACUGUAGAGGCUAAUGGAAUUCCGGGUGUAGCGGUGGAAUGCGUAGAGAUCCGGAAGAACACCGGUGGCGAAGGCGGUUCUCUGGGCAUGUCCUGACGCUGAGGAGCGAAAGUGUGGGGAGCGAACAGG
RNAcentral lists this ribosomal RNA (253 nucleotides) under uncultured bacterium. RNAcentral describes it as "partial 16S ribosomal RNA". It matches the Rfam family "Bacterial small subunit ribosomal RNA", at positions 524 to 776 of the family's 1533-position model. The record is from RNAcentral.